Molecule: long non-coding RNA, 155 nt
Filed under: Dasypus novemcinctus (nine-banded armadillo)
Lineage: Eukaryota; Metazoa; Chordata; Mammalia; Cingulata; Dasypodidae
Description: lncRNA (ENSDNOG00000052545.1)
Source: RNAcentral
AACGGAAAAAGAAAAUAACCUGGAACCAGAGGCCCUAGAGAAGGUCUGUUAUUUCAAUGUCGGAAUGUACUCAGCAGCCUGCUGGGCUGAGCCCUUGCGAUUCCUCUGACUGAUGAGGACUUUCUUCCGAGGAGCCCCCAGCCCCACGCCACCCC